Long non-coding RNA from Suricata suricatta (meerkat), 786 nucleotides. RefSeq lists it as uncharacterized. The transcript has 5 exons. Lineage: Eukaryota; Metazoa; Chordata; Mammalia; Carnivora; Herpestidae. The record is from RefSeq and is a predicted model, not a curated record.
CCUGCCCCCACUCCACCCCGGUUUUCCACACGAACACAGGCUCAGAGAGGCAGCUGGUGGUGUUCAGGACCGAGGAGCUGGCUGUUCGGGCGGAGGAAGCGUGUGUCACUGGCCUGUGUUCCCAGCCUGUGCUCCGAUUAGGAGAACUGCCAGCUUUUGUCCUCUGGUAAUAGGAUUCUACCACCAGCAGCAGCAGACCCAGGAGCAGAGCAGUGGGAGCAGAGGGAGGAUCUGUACGCCACUGAGGCAGAAGGGAAACCGUAGGGGAGAGGAGCCCCUCCUACCCAGUACCACGAUGUCUGCGGUGAUCACCAAUGUCUUCUGGCUCUGGGAGACUGUGCACGUCCAGGUGCCACUCUGCUGCAACUCCAGGUUUCUUCCUCUCCCACUGCCUGAGGUAGGAGGAUUUGAGGAGAUGUGGUGGCCAGUCUGACCCAUCUUUGGACUGUUGAGAUGUAAAUCCCGGAGUCUGCUAUUUCAAGAUUCUUGAUGACCAGAGGAAAGGAUCCUUGAUCCCACAGGAAUUUUCUGGAUUCAACACGAGUUUUCAGCUUGGAGGGACCUGGGAACAGAAGCCACAUGGAGGAGGUUGGGGUGCCCUGAAGACAUGGCAGCCCUGAAGAAGACAAUGCCCACAACCUUUCUGAUCUCAAUUGCUAACUUUCUGCAGAAUCUGUCCCGCAUCAGAAAACCCCAGACUGGUGAGGAGGUCCCAUCACCUUCACUUAACUGGCCAAAACAAUAUCUCACUAACCAAAAUAAAAUAAUGUCCUUAUUUCAAGAGCA